CUGCUCUGAAUGAUGCGAUCAUAGUUCAACUGCAAUCAUCUGUGUUGACGAUCAUCAAUCUUUCGCUCCUAUCUGACAGAGCAG
Small nucleolar RNA from Haliotis rubra (blacklip abalone), 84 nucleotides. RefSeq annotates it as small nucleolar RNA snR60/Z15/Z230/Z193/J17. The record is from RefSeq and is a predicted model, not a curated record. Lineage: Eukaryota; Metazoa; Mollusca; Gastropoda; Lepetellida; Haliotidae. The transcript has a single exon.